GCCAUGCUGUGGUGAUUGCUUUCCAUGAUGACCCGAGGCCCCCCACCACCACCUGAUCCAUGACUCCCCAUGUUUCCUCUUGUAAGAACACCAGGACUAUUGGUGUAUUAAGCCAAGGUUUCCGUGAAAGCCUCCCAGAAGAACUUCACCAUCUCAGGAGAAAGCAUAAUUUGUGUCAGGUGCAGGUAGAAAAGCGGUGAACUAGGGAUAAUCAAAGCGCUCAGCAUGCAAGUUUCUUAUGGGGACUGAAUGAGGUAACAUGAAUACAGUGAACAGAAGAGCCCCUGACACAUAGUUCCUGCUUGCAUAUGUACAUACAGAUUAUACUACAUGAAGUCAUGCUGUGCAUUCUUUGUGGGUGAGCAAAAAUAUAGAUAUAACAAAUACAAAAAUAUAGUUGUGAGAUGUUAACACCAUCACUAGGACAGCACUUGCUUCUUGGAGACAGAAGAAAGGCAUGGAAUUAGACCAAAACUAAGACAUUUUCAGUAGUCUUUUAUUCUAUGUAAUUUUGAAGAAUGUAUGUUGAAAUGUUGGCAUUCAUUAUUCAGGGGCAAAGAAAUCA
Neofelis nebulosa (Clouded leopard) is the source of this 565-nucleotide long non-coding RNA. RefSeq lists it as uncharacterized. The record is from RefSeq and is a predicted model, not a curated record. NCBI's taxonomy places the organism in Eukaryota, Metazoa, Chordata, Mammalia, Carnivora, Felidae. The transcript has 3 exons.